Octopus sinensis (East Asian common octopus) is the source of this 643-nucleotide long non-coding RNA. RefSeq lists it as uncharacterized. The transcript is spliced from 3 exons. NCBI's taxonomy places the organism in Eukaryota, Metazoa, Mollusca, Cephalopoda, Octopoda, Octopodidae. The record is from RefSeq and is a predicted model, not a curated record.
UUGCUUUUUUUUUUUUUUUUUUUUUUUAGGUCUUAAAAUUUGGGCCUAUACAGUCACAGAAACUGGCACACGUUUUACACUCGAUUACGGCUACCCGAAGAGAAUGGGAGACCAGAGAGUUUCACAUAUGGAUGCUCUGGUCGGGUUCGACAUGUCGUAUAUGCAUUAUAAAUCAGUCAGGCUUUUUAUAUUAAAGGGCAGAAGAUUCUGGGAAGUGGUUCCUAAAUACAACUACGUUGGUGGUGCUUACUCAAUCACGCAUUUCUUCGAAAUAUUCCAAACCGCUACGACACAACAUUGACCGUUAAUGACGUUGUGUACUUUGUGUCCAAUAACAUGUUUUAUCAAAUGAAACUUCCCAGCAGGUCUGUGAGUUCCAUCGGCAUUCCUAUGGAGAGUGUGCUGUUGAGAUGUCGGAAUUAUUAAGUCUUUUCAUUUUUUAUUAAGGAGCGACGGAGACGAAGGCGGUAAGGGUGGGGAAUGGGGAUUUGCAUCAACAUUCUUGACAAAGUCAGACAGUCUCUGAUAACCAGCGAUAAUACAACAUAGGCUGCUGCUGCCGCUACUGCUGCUGCUGCUGCUGCCAUCCUGAUAAUGUUGUUGUCGGUGUUAUUGCUGUUGAGGAGGAAUUUCCUGCUGCAGC